CUUCUUUUAUUUGUUGACCUCUCUUCUUUUCUUUUUUUCAGAUUCCAUAGAGGUUGCUCAUCUUAUUUACUGGUUCAGUUGAAGAGGUCAAUGUCAACAAAGCCACCAUCGAAUCGAGCUCUUUCCUAAACAGAAACAAUCAUCAAAGUUAGGUGAUGAGAUUAAUUACACAAGGAAGAGUUAUUUGGCAUUGCCAUUAGUUCUAAACCAAUGGAUUUGGUAUGAUUUCCCCCUGGUUAUCGACUGAACCGAGUAUAACCCUUAAAACAGAGUUUAAGUUGUCAAUUAUACCCUUAACCCUAACUUACUGGUGUGAGUUCUGAUAACAUGAGCUGUUGCUUUGUUUUUGGUUGCUAUGUGUGUGUAUUCAAAACGUGGUUUUGUUCGUCGCAUCUCAUGAUCGAGGAGGCUACAAAAGAACUCAAAGUUAAUGGAUAGUGCGCUUGAACUGCGCUAGGUUCUUCAAGGAUCCGGUAUAGAAAAAGCUUACAAAGGCAGAUAGUGUUUUUUUUAUAUAUCGUUGCAGUACUAGCUAACUUUAUGUAGUAGACUCAUCUGAGAAGUGCUCGAAGAGUUUACAAAAGGUACUUUCAGGUUAUAGGUCACUAUUAUGUGUCUCUGAUUGAUUUGUCAUGAGAGCUCAAUCAUAGGAUCUUACUGAAAGUGUUGGUCUUUGUGAUGAAUCAUAAACAACACUUUUUAGGUUUGAAUUGAUACAAACUUCAAAACAGAAAAGCUUACUGGUCAUGGUGUAUAUAAUUUGCAUUCAAGUCAGUUUCUUUAGUCUUCUUUGUGUGCUUUGAUGGAUUCGCUAGCUGUUGAAUGCUAUGAAAAAUUCUUUCUCUGUUCUACUUCUGUGGGAUCAAUUUUGAGGUCAUCCACCG
This 884-nucleotide long non-coding RNA is filed under the name Capsella rubella. RNAcentral's name for it is "long non-coding RNA (CRUB_LNC001224)". The record is from RNAcentral. Lineage: Eukaryota; Viridiplantae; Streptophyta; Magnoliopsida; Brassicales; Brassicaceae.